RNAcentral lists this non-coding RNA (31 nucleotides) under Homo sapiens (human). The record is from RNAcentral. Lineage: Eukaryota; Metazoa; Chordata; Mammalia; Primates; Hominidae.
UUGGCUUGUGUAUCCUGAGCAUUUCAUGGGC